RNAcentral lists this ribosomal RNA (771 nucleotides) under Peribacillus simplex. RNAcentral describes it as "bacterial SSU rRNA". It matches the Rfam family "Bacterial small subunit ribosomal RNA", at positions 28 to 782 of the family's 1533-position model. The record is from RNAcentral. Lineage: Bacteria; Bacillati; Bacillota; Bacilli; Caryophanales; Bacillaceae.
GACGAACGCUGGCGGCGUGCCUAAUACAUGCAAGUCGAGCGAAUGGAUGGGAGCUUGCUCCCUGAGAUUAGCGGCGGACGGGUGAGUAACACGUGGGCAACCUGCCUAUAAGACUGGGAUAACUUCGGGAAACCGGAGCUAAUACCGGAUACGUUCUUUUCUCGCAUGAGAGAAGAUGGAAAGACGGUUUACGCUGUCACUUAUAGAUGGGCCCGCGGCGCAUUAGCUAGUUGGUGAGGUAAUGGCUCACCAAGGCGACGAUGCGUAGCCGACCUGAGAGGGUGAUCGGCCACACUGGGACUGAGACACGGCCCAGACUCCUACGGGAGGCAGCAGUAGGGAAUCUUCCGCAAUGGACGAAAGUCUGACGGAGCAACGCCGCGUGAACGAAGAAGGCCUUCGGGUCGUAAAGUUCUGUUGUUAGGGAAGAACAAGUACCAGAGUAACUGCUGGUACCUUGACGGUACCUAACCAGAAAGCCACGGCUAACUACGUGCCAGCAGCCGCGGUAAUACGUAGGUGGCAAGCGUUGUCCGGAAUUAUUGGGCGUAAAGCGCGCGCAGGUGGUUCCUUAAGUCUGAUGUGAAAGCCCACGGCUCAACCGUGGAGGGUCAUUGGAAACUGGGGAACUUGAGUGCAGAAGAGGAAAGUGGAAUUCCAAGUGUAGCGGUGAAAUGCGUAGAGAUUUGGAGGAACACCAGUGGCGAAGGCGACUUUCUGGUCUGUAACUGACACUGAGGCGCGAAAGCGUGGGGAGCAAACAGGAUUAGA